This 2258-nucleotide long non-coding RNA is filed under the name Homo sapiens (human). RNAcentral describes it as "ADAMTS9 antisense RNA 2 (ADAMTS9-AS2)". Lineage: Eukaryota; Metazoa; Chordata; Mammalia; Primates; Hominidae. The record is from RNAcentral.
AAACUUGACGUACACACGCAGUCCUAUCCCUACGGUCCUGGAAUUGGGGGUUACUAUCUUGGAAUCUAGGGGCACUCCAGGCUCUGGGCUCAGACGGCUGGCUUCUGCCUACCCGAGCCUUAACCUUUCAAGGACCAGAAGGAUUCCAGAGCUCUUGCCCUAGGUCCUGGGGCAGCGAUGACUCACUGCAGCACCCCCUCCCACUUCGCCAAGCUGCCGUCUCCGCCCACCCCCAAACAAUCUCGACAGCGCAUUUCGGGAGCCACGGCUCCGGGCGCUUUGCUGGGGGCUAAAGGGGUUUAUCCCUUUCCUUGAAUCCCAGCAGGCUAGAACUACCCCCUCCCAGUCUUCAGGCUUGCCACGCUCUCCACCCGAUCCUUCCAUUGAAAGGCAGAGAAGGAAGGAUGUGCUUGGGAACUUUAAGACCCACGAACGACAGCGCACUGAUGGAGCAGCCCAGUGUCUGGGGCAAAGUCCUCGAGGUUCAUUCAUUCAGGAAGCCUCUGACCAGCCUUUACCAUGCGCUGAGUGAGAAGCUGAGGAUAAGGAAAGAGCAAGACCCCCAAGAAACCCUGAUGUCUGGCUGAAAGCCGAAGCAUGACGCAACUUUGCUAUAUUUCUCUCCAACAAGGAUUUGUAUAUUUUCGCUUUCUCCUCAAGUAACACCUGGACCUGCUCCUUUCCCUUCAAACGCUGAGGGCUCAGUCUCCAAGUUCCUUUAUGAAACAGGGUGUACCAUCAGAGACGCAGGUAUUUAUUGAAACCUGCUUUGUGCUGGGCAAUGUGCCAGAUGUUGGGGAUAAAAUGGAGACUUCAGAAAUGAAGAUGCAAAGACAACAGGGGAAACCAUAUAUGUUUAUGGACAGUCAUGCCAAAGUAUGAUUGGAAGACAAAAAGAUUUUUGGCCAAUUCACUGCUCACUAACAUCUCCAUCAAAGGGAAAAACACACAUUGUAAAAUAAGAAUUCUUCAAAGACAACUUGAAGACAUCUGGGAAUUCUGAAGCCUGAAAAUUCCAUGAGUUCAUAGCAGUGUUCACUAAUUCCACUGAUCUAAAGACAAAAAGGAGAGUCAACUGCGUGCCCAAACUCAUUUCUGAUGAUUUCUUCCAUCCUAACUUUUCUGCCUCUCUGGGGGUGGUUAUGCCUGUGAAAAACAUUGAAGCUGUCAGGAACAGAGUCGGCUUUCAAGAUUGGAAUGUCAAAGUAGAGUCUUCUUUUCCUCAGACCAGAAGGGGCUUGGUUGGGUAAGAGUUUCCAGAUCUAAAUGGAGACAGGACUGGGAUAUAGGAGCUUGUACGGAUAAACAACACAAACACCUUGGGUAAGUGAUACACCAAGAGAGAUCAAAAUAGGGUAGGAACACGAUCCUAAAGCUAUGUGAGAUACGAAGCCAAGAGACCCUGUCUACAGGCUGAUAUGUAUUGCAACCAGAGGCCACCUACACUCAAGAAAAUUCUAAAUGAUGUAAUAGGUUGUGGACACUUUCUUGUAAAAAUGAUCGAUAUUUUUUUCUUAUAGGGAUAAAGCUUAAAAGCAUGGGAUGUAUCUCCAUUAGGAAAUAUGAAGUGAGUUGGUAUAUUACAGGUAGGUUAGACUGAGAUAAUUAUAAAACUGGGCUGAUUUUACAUAGAGAAGAACUUGAUUCCUAAAGGUGUUGAAGGACAAGAUGGGGACAGUUAUUGAAGUGUUCAGGUGCUGUCCUUUGUAGUCUGUAGCCUAUUAAAAUAAUACACAACUGAACACAGACCCAAGGAAAGGGGUUCUACUCAUCGCUAGAAUGUAAACUCUAAGAAGAUAAGGAUUUUGUCUGCUUCAUUUAUUACUGUAUUCCCAGCUCCUAAAAGAGUGUCCAGCACUUAGUAUCUGUUGGUAAGUACCUGUUGAAUUAAUUAACCAGUGAUGAGACUUUGGAAAGCAGCUAGUCCAUCUGUAAGAUUGUUUUCUCAUCUGUGAGAUGAGUCAGUUAGAUUAGAUGUUUUCUAAGCUUAUUCUAGUUUUAAAAUUGUAUAUUUCUAUAAGAAAUGAUAAAUGAAAAAUGUCCAUUCCUUUUUCAUCUCCAUCACCCAUCUCACAUCUUCCUUCAGUGCCUAUGUGAUCUGUUUGAGUAUAACCAGGUGUACAAAAGUACUAAGUGAUAUGAGAUGACUUCAGUAGUCCAGGGACUCUUUCUUCCCCCACUCUGUAAAGAGUUAUUUGCUUAAUUUAAUGUACAUUAUAAAAACAGAAAAAAAAAAAAAAAAAAAAAAAAAAAAAAAA